RNAcentral lists this non-coding RNA (24 nucleotides) under Drosophila melanogaster (fruit fly). The record is from RNAcentral. Lineage: Eukaryota; Metazoa; Arthropoda; Insecta; Diptera; Drosophilidae.
UUUCUACCAACACAGAUGGGACGC